Molecule: long non-coding RNA, 2457 nt
Filed under: Equus caballus (horse)
Lineage: Eukaryota; Metazoa; Chordata; Mammalia; Perissodactyla; Equidae
Description: lncRNA (ENSECAG00000060383.1)
Source: RNAcentral
AAAAAGGUUUAAAAAAAAAAUCUAAAAUGUUUAAUUCAUUUGUCAAUAAUGAUUAAAAAAACAUGACAAUCAAUGGAAAAGUGUAACGUUGUUCAAAACCUGGUAACGAGACAAUGGGUCUUCUCUUUGGAGGCAGAGGAGAUCCACUUAGACCCUACCUCACAGCACACAGCAAAACAAAUUCCAGCCGGUUUAACAACCAAUAAACAAAGCAGAGGAAACUAAAGAAAUAUUUACAAAAUAUAUUCAAAGAGCAGGGCUUCUGCAGUUAAAAAUGAGAGAAUGACUCAAGAUAAAGACAUAUAUUUGAUUAUAUAAAUUUUAAACGCUAAUUGUUUUAAAAGAGAACUUUAUUAGGGAAAGCUCAUACAAUAAGUAAAACACUUUGACUCUAAUUUUAAAAAAGGAAAGACAAAAGAAAUAAAGAAACAAUUACAAAAAAGGAAAUGCAACUGCAUAAACAGUAUAUGAAAAAAUAUUCUCUAUCAUUAGGAAUUAAGGCAAGAUGAAAUAUUAAAAUGCCAUUUUCAUGUAUGAAAUCAGUACUGAUUUUUAAUAAAUAAUACUCAAUUUGAACAAGACUCAUUGAAAUAACCUAGUACAUUAAUUCUGAGAGUAUGAAAGCAAUCUGGCAAUACAAACCAUUAAAUAUUAAAACAUUCCAUACUUUAAACUGAAUAAUCACUAUUCUGGGAUGCUAAGAAAGCAUUCCUAAAUACCUAUUUUUAAAAGCUUUAUGCAUAAAAUUGUCACUGCACAGUUAUUUCUACUUUUGAAUUUAAAAUUAUUUUCUCAUUUUAGAAGUAAUAAGAAGUAGAUUGUAAAAAUUUAAAAAUAAAAACUAGGAAAAAGUCCCCAAAUAAAAUUCCAUCCCAGAAAUAACCACUCUUCACACUUCUAACUUAUCCAUCAUUUUUCCCCACUUAAAAUAUUAGGAACAGAAGCAACAAUAUCCCAACAAAAAGCACACUCCAUGCUCAAAUCUUGGUUCCUAAUACUAUUCUUGAUUAAAAGGAAUCAGGCUCCUAGAGAAAUGGCUGAUUCUAGGGCUUGGGCCAUGUAAUGCCACAAAGUAAGGAAGUAUUCAAAAAAGCAAAACAUUGAAGAACGUCAAAAAGACACAGGAGCCAACGGAAAGAGCUCCACUGGCCAAAGCUGGGCAACAGAAUAAGUGACAUACUACUGGAUUACAACUCAAACUACAAAUAAAUAUCCAUGAAUCCAUACUGAUAUAAACUAAUGACUGAAUAAACACAUAAACGGGGGUGAAGAGACAACUCUCCCAUAUAGAAGAAUCCCAAGUAAGUUAAUGUAGAUGCUGCUCCUUCCAGGAGGGGAGCUGAUGCCCCACCCCUUAACUGUGGCUGUGCAUAGUAACUUCCUCUAAAGAUUUAAAAGCCAGGCCUACGAAUGGGUGAGAACUGUCUCUUUUGGAGUUCAUUAAGAUUUUGGUUUUUUCUUUUGAAUCACUUAAAAUAAAAGAAACAUAAAUCUAUGAGAUGCAAUAUUUAAUACUUCUUUUAUAUCAAUUUAUUUCAUCAGAGUAUUAGCUAAGAAAACGCACGUGUGUUAAACAUUUCUGACCUCACAUAAAUGAAAUUUCUUUGAAAGAGAUCAGUAAGAAUAACUUCCUUGGGCUUAGUUACAACAUGGUGACAGGACCAGAGCAGACUAAAAAAUACAGAAAUUAUCUGGUAGAGACAGGAAAGAAAAAUAAUCAAUGCGUGCUUAAAAAAGUCUGUUUCUUAAAGGAACCAUUGCUAUCAUAUUGCGUAGGUGUUAACGUAUUUCUGCAGAAACUAGGAGUCAGUUUGCAAGACUUACUCCUCCUGAUGAAGAAGAGCAUAAUUCGGGACUUCAGAUGGAUUCGGUAGAUACUCUAAAACAGCAUCUAAGAGAGGCUGGACGCCUUUGUUCUUCAAGGCACUUCCCAAAAAGACAGGAGUAAAGGACCUAUUUAGAGUAGCUCUUCGGAUUGCAAGCUGCAACAGAAAAAAAUUUAAUGAUUAGUUAAUCUUAAAAAUUACAUUUUUUGUUUCAGAUCAAUUAUAAACCAACAAAUGAAUGAAAUGCAUUGAUACUCUUUGGAGUACUGGCUCUAGCGGAGACUAGCAUCAGGUUCUCUAUAACUUAAGGUCAAAAUACAAAGAAAAAGAAACAAAAUCAGUUCCUUUUUUCAGGGCUUGGAAGCUACGUACUGUACAACGGCUUUCAACAUUCUUGGAAUGUCACUAAUUUUCACUUUGGCAAAAAAAGAUACAUACAUAUAGAAAAUAGACACAUAAACAGAAGAGUGUGAACAGUAUGCUAACAAUUGCACAAAAUAGAGGGAAAAGUUAUACAUAUGCAAAAAAAAAAAUCUCUGGAAAGAUACAACAGAAACCAUUUACCAGUAACCUGCUUUAGGAAGGGGCAAAGAACUGAGCAGAGGGGAGACAGGUGGGAGAUUUUUUACUG